UCCCAUGUGGUCUAGUGGCUAGGAUACCUGGCUUUCACCCAGGAGCCCCGGGUUCGAUUCCCGGCAUGGGAA
This 72-nucleotide transfer RNA is filed under the name Procambarus clarkii (red swamp crayfish). RNAcentral's name for it is "transfer RNA glutamic acid (anticodon UUC)". It matches the Rfam family "tRNA". From Rfam's summary of the family: Transfer RNA (tRNA) molecules are approximately 80 nucleotides in length. The record is from RNAcentral. Lineage: Eukaryota; Metazoa; Arthropoda; Malacostraca; Decapoda; Cambaridae.